AGAACUAAUAAUAUCUAGAAUCGAAUGAUGGAGUAACGUCCUGAAAGGUUCUCCCUAAUACUCCGACAUGCAUAUAUAUAACAAGGUAUAUAUGUAUGAAGCUCGGUAAAGUCAGUUUUGUUACUUCCCUAACAGAUAAUGCUGAGGAAAUGCGAAUUAGAGAUAAUCGAGAAGUAUAUGGACUGGGGGUCA
This 192-nucleotide non-coding RNA is filed under the name insect gut metagenome. The record is from RNAcentral.